AGGUUACCUUGUAUAACCUCCCUCUCCUCCACGUGCUAUAGCACAGCUUCCAGGAGGAUCCACCCCAUCAUCUUCCCCAGCACAGAGGUUAGAGUCAUUGGAACAAUUUGCCAGAGGAUGUGGUGGAUUCUGGAUCUGCAUUGGAGUCUUGAUUGCCAUUGUGAAAGAUACACAGUCCUGAACUCAAAACAGGGUGUAAGUGCCAGCUGAACAAUCUGACAGUCCCACUCGGUUGUGAACACCAAUGAUGUUUCAUCCAUGAUCCAGCAGAAUGAGUGUGGGUCUGGAGGCCAGCAUGUGGGCUCCCAUCUGACCGCCCAUCUGGAGCAUCUGCAUUUGGCAAGUGGGAAUGCCAGCAGAGCAUCUUCUGAACAGGUUGUGUCUUUUAUGGAAUGAGCUGGACUUCAUGUACAUCAUUGCUGCAACACCUGUUGGAAAUAAUCACAACUCACAGAGUUUGUUGCUUGUAGAUGGUUUCAGUGUCACCCAUGCCCUCAGUCCUAGGCUGGUGCGGGUCACAGGCUGUUUGCUCUUCUCCUCUGCUCAGGGAUGAACUUGAGCUUACAGUUUUCACAUUUUCUCAUUCUAAUUGUGAACAGAAAUUCCAUACGAUCUCCUUAUUGUACUGUUAAAAUAAAAUAAAGCUUGUUUUUCAAACACAGCAUCAGACUUGCCCUUGAUGUUAC
RNAcentral lists this long non-coding RNA (686 nucleotides) under Gallus gallus (chicken). Its description in RNAcentral is "long non-coding RNA NONGGAT009136". The record is from RNAcentral. Lineage: Eukaryota; Metazoa; Chordata; Aves; Galliformes; Phasianidae.